RNAcentral lists this ribosomal RNA (484 nucleotides) under uncultured bacterium. RNAcentral's name for it is "partial 16S ribosomal RNA". It matches the Rfam family "Bacterial small subunit ribosomal RNA", at positions 30 to 507 of the family's 1533-position model. The record is from RNAcentral.
AUUGAACGCUGGCGGCAGGCCUAACACAUGCAAGUCGAGCGGAUGAAGGGAGCUUGCUCCUGGAUUCAGCGGCGGACGGGUGAGUAAUGCCUAGGAAUCUGCCUGGUAGUGGGGGAUAACGUCCGGAAACGGGCGCUAAUACCGCAUACGUCCUGAGGGAGAAAGUGGGGGAUCUUCGGACCUCACGCUAUCAGAUGAGCCUAGGUCGGAUUAGCUAGUUGGUGGGGUAAAGGCCUACCAAGGCGACGAUCCGUAACUGGUCUGAGAGGAUGAUCAGUCACAUUGGAACUGAGACACGGUCCAGACUCCUACGGGAGGCAGCAGUGUGGAAUAUUGGACAAUGGGCGAAAGCCUGAUCCAGCCAUGCCGCGUGUGUGAAGAAGGUCUUCGGAUUGUAAAGCACUUUAAGUUGGGAGGAAGGGCAGUAAGUUAAUACCUUGCUGUUUUGACGUUACCAACAGAAUAAGCACCGGCUAACUUCGUG